UACGGAGGGUGCAAGCGUUAUCCGGAUUCACUGGGUUUAAAGCGUGUGUAGGCGGGCCCGUAAGUGUCUUGUGAAAUCCCACGGCUCAACCGUGGAACUGCUGGGCAUACUGCGGGUCUUGGGCCAACUAGGGGCAGCCGGAACAAGCGGUGGAGCGGUGAAAUGCGUAGAUAUCGCUUGGAACGCCGAAGGUGAAAACAGGCUGCUGGGGUUGCGCCGACGCUGAGACACGAAAGCCAGGGGAGCAAACGGG
Molecule: ribosomal RNA, 253 nt
Filed under: uncultured bacterium
Lineage: Bacteria
Description: partial 16S ribosomal RNA
Rfam family: Bacterial small subunit ribosomal RNA
Source: RNAcentral